AGAAUCAACGCUGGCGGCGUGCCUAACACAUGCAAGUCGAACGAGAAAGUGGAGCAAUCCAUUAGUAAAGUGGCGCACGGGUGAGUAACACGUGACUAACCUACCCUUGAGUGGGGGAUAACCUAGAGAAAUCUGGGCUAAUACCGCAUAAUACCUUCGGGUCAAAGGAGCAAUUCGCUUAAGGAGGGGGUCGCGGCCGAUUAGUUAGUUGGCGGGGUAAUGGCCCACCAAGACUAUGAUCGGUAUCCGGCCUGAGAGGGCGCACGGACACACUGGAACUGAAACACGGUCCAGACUCCUACGGGAGGCAGCAGUGGGGAAUUUGCGCAAUGGGGGAAACCCUGACGCAGCAACGCCGCGUGGAGGAUGAAGCCCCUUGGGGCGUAAACUCCUUUCGAUCGGGACGAUAAUGACGGUACCGAGAGAAGAAGCCCGGCUAACUUCGCGCCAGCAGCCGC
This 458-nucleotide ribosomal RNA is filed under the name uncultured bacterium. Its description in RNAcentral is "SSU rRNA". It matches the Rfam family "Bacterial small subunit ribosomal RNA", at positions 26 to 518 of the family's 1533-position model. The record is from RNAcentral.